GUUGAGUUGAGUUGAGUUGAGAAAGUGUGAUUCUUUAAGAUUCAAUAACCACGAGGAUUUUGGGAAAAGUAAUAGAUGCUAGUUUUAUAAGUAAUUCCUUUUCUAUGUGUUCCGUUGGUUAGAUGUUAGAGUAGUUAUUUGGUUUUUCUACUGAGGUUAAUUUUUGGAAUAUGACUCCUUGGAUCUGUCAAGAAUUUAAUUCAUUACAUGAUCCUGGUGCCUAUCUUUACAGCUGUUUUGCAUGCAACAUUCUGCAUUUUAUUUCUUAGUUUAGAUUAUGGAACUUUCUAUGAUAUAACUCGUUUUGCAUCUUAUCGAUAAUAAUAAACACUUUGUUCAUUGUGGGUUACAGAACCAUGAUUCAGGAAAUGAUUA
Molecule: unclassified non-coding RNA, 375 nt
Filed under: Hevea brasiliensis (rubber tree)
Lineage: Eukaryota; Viridiplantae; Streptophyta; Magnoliopsida; Malpighiales; Euphorbiaceae
Source: RNAcentral